This 607-nucleotide ribosomal RNA is filed under the name Streptococcus gordonii. Its description in RNAcentral is "bacterial SSU rRNA". It matches the Rfam family "Bacterial small subunit ribosomal RNA", at positions 797 to 1404 of the family's 1533-position model. The record is from RNAcentral. Lineage: Bacteria; Bacillati; Bacillota; Bacilli; Lactobacillales; Streptococcaceae.
ACGCCGUAAACGAUGAGUGCUAGGUGUUAGGCCCUUUCCGGGGCUUAGUGCCGCAGCUAACGCAUUAAGCACUCCGCCUGGGGAGUACGACCGCAAGGUUGAAACUCAAAGGAAUUGACGGGGGCCCGCACAAGCGGUGGAGCAUGUGGUUUAAUUCGAAGCAACGCGAAGAACCUUACCAGGUCUUGACAUCCCAGUGACCGCUCUAGAGAUAGAGUUUUUCUUCGGAACACUGGUGACAGGUGGUGCAUGGUUGUCGUCAGCUCGUGUCGUGAGAUGUUGGGUUAAGUCCCGCAACGAGCGCAACCCUUAUUGUUAGUUGCCAUCAUUCAGUUGGGCACUCUAGCGAGACUGCCGGUAAUAAACCGGAGGAAGGUGGGGAUGACGUCAAAUCAUCAUGCCCCUUAUGACCUGGGCUACACACGUGCUACAAUGGUUGGUACAACGAGUCGCAAGUCGGUGACGGCAAGCAAAUCUCUUAAAGCCAAUCUCAGUUCGGAUUGUAGGCUGCAACUCGCCUACAUGAAGUCGGAAUCGCUAGUAAUCGCGGAUCAGCACGCCGCGGUGAAUACGUUCCCGGGCCUUGUACACACCGCCCGUCACACCA